Molecule: ribosomal RNA, 217 nt
Filed under: uncultured bacterium
Lineage: Bacteria
Description: partial 16S ribosomal RNA
Rfam family: Bacterial small subunit ribosomal RNA
Source: RNAcentral
UACGGAGGGUGCAAGCGUUAAUCGGAAUUACUGGGCGUAAAGGGUGCGUAGGUGGUUGAAUAAGUUAUCUGUGAAAUCCCCGGGCUCAACCUGGGAAGGUCAGAUAAGACUGUUUGACUCGAGUAUAGGAGAGGGUAGUGGAAUUUCCGGUGUAGCGGUGAAAUGCGUAGAUAUCGGGAGGAACACCGGGUGGCGAAGGCGGCCUUGCUGGACGGAU